ACCAAGCAAUAAAAUAAUAUACAAAGUGAAACAAAGGAAAGACACACGACAAAAUCUAAGCCUAAAAAGUAAAGUAAAAUUGAAAAGCUAACAGAAACAACUUAAAAAAUCUCAAAUUCCAAAAUCAACAUAGCUUGAAACCCUAAAAUUAGCAGAAACAAAUAGCCAUAUCCUUGCAAACAGACCAAAAUGAUUAAUCUCCCCACAAAACACACCGAAGGGGUUAAGAUAGGGAGGGAGAUUGAGGGAAUCCUUUUCCUAAAUCAUGAAACCCCAAUCCAAAAACCCAACAGAGGAAACUAACUGACAGUGGAUCAAGCCAACGUCGAUCCUCCAUUGCAACUUCCCCAACCUCUAAAAGGGCAUCUUCCACUCAGAACCGAUCAGUUGAAUCUCUUUGACCCAGCGUCGCCAUUGCAUGCGUGACAGAAUUACAUCCUCGGGGCACGGAUUUGAAAUGAAAAAAAACUCAAAAUUUCUCAAAAGAGCUUUCACAUCCUAGGUAAUCUGCCGAAGAGUUAAGUAAUCUUCAUCAUUUUUUUUGCAAUUUCAGUAUUACAAUUUUUAAAUCACUCUCUACGAUGACUCACCGGAAUCCCAUUUCUUGGAUAGACUAUAAACCAUGUAGGACUGCCAUUGCCUUCGCUAUACAAAUUAUAGAAGCCCAAAUAUGGAUAUGAUACCUUAAUCCUAAAAUUUUCCCCAUAUCAUCUCAUAUAAUAAACCCUGAACUCGCUUUAUUUCUUGGUCUGGAGUAACCUGCAUCAACAUUAAUCUUGACCCACAAUGACGGUGGGGGGACCAAUGGACUAUCGCAAGAGGAGAAGGGUGUCUCAACACAGAGCUCAGUCCCCGAUAUUUACUUCCAUAGCUGUGAAUAAAGGUAACAAAUUCAUUUAUGCUCUGCAAAAUUCCCUCAUGGAAAUAUUUUUUUCGUGCAUAACAUAACACCCAAACUAUAAUAGCAGCAAUUUCUUUAUUAUAUGUGGUUGAAUGUUCAAACUUGCCUCGACCACCACUUUAGGCCACUGGAAAGCUAACUUUCCCUAAACCUACUUUGUAAAAUAGCGAUCACGACUAGCAUGAGUGGUUGAUUCAGCUUCCAGCUGACAUCGUAGACAUAACUAUCCUACUGCAAUUCUUUUACAGUAUAAAAUUUGCAUGGUUGGAACAUAAUUUUUAACAAAUUGCCAAAGAAGAAUUUUAAUCUUUAACGCACAGUUUAUGAGCCAUAAUUGCUUAAAGAUAAAACGCUCAGUAAUACUUACAGCACACGGACUUAAUAAAGUUUUAUAACCACUACGUAUUGAAUAUUAGCAUGUAUGCUUACCUAACCAAAAAUGUUUAUCAUUCUGGCUGUUCAUUGAUAAUGAGAUGCUCAUAAUGGUGUUCGCCUCUUCUUUUAUGAAUAGAGAUCUAAUGAGUCUAGUAUCCUAGCUUUUCGCCUCUUGUCGAAUUAAAUCACUGACUCGAUCCAUCCCUGCAACUCAUUAUGUGGUGAUUUUCCCCAUAUCCUUAC
Molecule: long non-coding RNA, 1519 nt
Filed under: Gossypium barbadense (sea-island cotton)
Lineage: Eukaryota; Viridiplantae; Streptophyta; Magnoliopsida; Malvales; Malvaceae
Description: long non-coding RNA (GBAR_LNC021010)
Source: RNAcentral